GGCCUGGGUAGACUUGCAUGGGGGACUGGGGAAGAGACCAUGAACAGGAUAGUCUAAGGAGUUCCCAUCAAGCCCUUUACUCAGUAG
Molecule: microRNA precursor, 87 nt
Organism: Chlorocebus sabaeus (green monkey)
Lineage: Eukaryota; Metazoa; Chordata; Mammalia; Primates; Cercopithecidae
Source: Ensembl